GAGUUUGAUCUUGGCUCCAGAUUGAACGCUGGCGGCCAGGCCGUAACACAUGCAAGUCGAGCGGAUGACGGGAGCUUGCUCCUUGAUUCAGCGGCGGACGGGUGAGUAAUGCCUAGGAAUCUGCCUGGUAGUGGGGGACAACGUUUCGAAAGGAACGCUAAUACCGCAUACGUCCUACGGGAGAAAGCAGGGGACCUUCGGGGCCUUGCGCUAUCAGAUGAGCCUAGGUCGGACUUAGCUAGUUGGUGGGGUAAAUGGCCCACCAAGGCGACCGAUCCGUAACUGGUCUGAGAGGAUGAUCAGUCACACUGGAACUGAGACACGGUCCAGACUCCUACGGGAGGCAGCAGUGGGGAAUAUUGGACAAUGGGCGAAAGCCUGAUCCAGCCAUGCCGCGUGUGUGAAGAAGGUCUUCGGAUUGUAAAGCACUUUAAGUU
RNAcentral lists this ribosomal RNA (437 nucleotides) under bacterium enrichment culture clone ALO1_GLFRUDD03FS226. Its description in RNAcentral is "bacterial SSU rRNA". It matches the Rfam family "Bacterial small subunit ribosomal RNA", at positions 9 to 441 of the family's 1533-position model. The record is from RNAcentral.